AUUUGUAAGGGUAAAAGCCAUGCUUCCGACUUGAUUCCAUGCCUCAAAAACCAUCUGGAGAAAGAGAGGGUGUUUGGUGAGGUAGUUAAAGAACUUGAAAGGUUUGGUUCCGGCUAGUGGUAGAGGGUGAGCUAGGUCUAGGAGACAGGGGCAGUGAUCAGACAUUUCAGGAGGGUGGAAGGUUGCUGUGCUGUUGGGGAAGAGAGAGAUAGCGUGUGAGUUAACCAGGAGGCGAUCAAGUUUCUUUGCUAUUGGGCUUUCAGGUUGAUGGUUGGUCCAA
Molecule: long non-coding RNA, 280 nt
Filed under: Brassica napus (rape)
Lineage: Eukaryota; Viridiplantae; Streptophyta; Magnoliopsida; Brassicales; Brassicaceae
Description: long non-coding RNA (BNAP_LNC026119)
Source: RNAcentral